Pelobates cultripes (western spadefoot toad) is the source of this 217-nucleotide non-coding RNA. The record is from the annotation of a GenBank genome assembly. NCBI's taxonomy places the organism in Eukaryota, Metazoa, Chordata, Amphibia, Anura, Pelobatidae.
CUUUGGCAAAGUUAAAUUUACUCAAAGUAAAAAGUUAUGGCAGUGAAGACAUUUUAAGAGAGGAGUUAAGAGUGUGUACCCAAAAUGGCAAAGAAAAAAAUAGCAUGAGAAUUCUGCAAAUUUGCACAAUUAUCCUUAAAAAAGCAAUUAAAUUCGCUUUUAUUCCAGCUCUGGAAGAAUCUUCUCACUGCAGCUCUGAUCUUCUUCAUUACUGAUG